Molecule: long non-coding RNA, 894 nt
Filed under: Malus domestica (apple)
Lineage: Eukaryota; Viridiplantae; Streptophyta; Magnoliopsida; Rosales; Rosaceae
Description: long non-coding RNA (MDOM_LNC014177)
Source: RNAcentral
CAAAUCUAGAGUACGUUCGACCCUGCUGAUAUGGGAUACUUUUGCUGUUGACAAAGUAGUGGAUGUAUCGGUACGUGUUCUGUUGCGCUUGUCUCCAUAUGCUUCCUUGUAACCUUCUCACUUGCCCUAUUUGGUCCUCAGGCAGAUGUGGUAUCUUCUCGGGAAGCAUAAGAUGUUGAAGAUGAGUACUCGAGAGCAAUGCCAAGUAAGUAAUCAGGUAAGGGGUUCCAGGCAGUCAGUUCCGGACUGGAAGCUUGAUUCCAAAUGCUGACUGAUUGCUCUCUUUCUCCUUGUCUUGCAGGUAAGUGAUGCGAAUAAUAUAAGCACACAAAUUAAACCCUCUUUUGACAAUUGUAGCAAAGUAUGUAAGUAGGGAUCGUUCUAAACCGGGGAUUAGGAGGGCUUGCUAAAACCUCUAAACUGACUAAAAAAAAACAAAAAGAAACAAAGUUAAAAUGUAAACAAAAGACUUUUUAAAAUAAGAAAGUAAAAGGGGGAUUUGGGUUUGGUGAAGUUGAAAGUAAAACAAAUAAACUAAAACUUAAAUAGAUUUUUAGCUAGGCAGAUUAUAAAACGAAUUUGAGAAAUAAGAUGAUGGAUGGAUUAGUUAGAGGUCCGUUCUUCACACAUGACACACUUGUACAUGAAUCGAUUUCCAAUUGCUUUUCAAUAAACUAUGAUGCUCAACACUCCAGAUUGACCGUGAUGCACAAAUUAACCCUCAGAUUUUCCUUUACUUAUUGAAUUGGAUGAAUGCAUGCGACAAUCCAAAUUAUUCUCUAAAAGUCCCCUAUAUGAAUGCAUAAUAGAGAUACAAUCAGAGAUCAUUACGUUCAAUGAAAAUCAUAAGUGUUGACGAGGCAAUUGUAACUAUGAAUGCAUGAUACGUUUGCC